CACGUAGGGCGCAAGCGUUGUCCGGAAUUAUUGGGCGUAAAGAGCUCGUAGGCGGUCCGUCACGUCCGCUGUGAAAACCCAGGGCUCAACCCUGGGCUUGCAGUGGAUACGGGCAGACUAGAGGUAGGUAGGGGAGAAUGGAAUUCCCGGUGUAGCGGUGAAAUGCGCAGAUAUCGGGAGGAACACCGGUGGCGAAGGCGGUUCUCUGGGCCUUACCUGACGCUGAGGCGCGAAGGUCAGGGGAGCAAACGGG
RNAcentral lists this ribosomal RNA (253 nucleotides) under uncultured bacterium. RNAcentral describes it as "partial 16S ribosomal RNA". It matches the Rfam family "Bacterial small subunit ribosomal RNA", at positions 524 to 776 of the family's 1533-position model. The record is from RNAcentral.